This 294-nucleotide long non-coding RNA is filed under the name Vicia faba (fava bean). Lineage: Eukaryota; Viridiplantae; Streptophyta; Magnoliopsida; Fabales; Fabaceae. The record is from RNAcentral.
AUGAUUAGGAGGAAGAUCAAUUUUAUGUGCCUACAAGAAACUAAGUGGACAGGUGAAAAAGCGAAAGAAUUAAACAACUCGGGAUUAAAGCUUUGGUAUACUGGAAAAAUUAGAUCAAGAAACGGGGUGGAGAUUAUUGUGGAUAAGGAGUGGAAGAAGGAUGUUGUGGAUGUAAGAAGAGUAGGAGAUCAAAUCAUAGUCUUGAAAUUUAUAGUGGGACAAAACACCUUUAAUGUUAUUAGUGGGUACGCACCUCAGGUUGGGUUAGCAGAACACCUUAAGGUAAAAUUUUGA